GGGCCCGUAGCUCAGUUGGUUAGAGCACACGCUUGAUAAGCGUGGGGUCGGAAGUUCAAGUCUUCCGGGUUUCG
RNAcentral lists this transfer RNA (74 nucleotides) under Rhizobium leguminosarum bv. trifolii. RNAcentral's name for it is "tRNA-Ile". It matches the Rfam family "tRNA". From Rfam's summary of the family: Transfer RNA (tRNA) molecules are approximately 80 nucleotides in length. Their secondary structure includes four short double-helical elements and three loops (D, anti-codon, and T loops). The record is from RNAcentral. RNAcentral also lists the same sequence under 2 other names. Lineage: Bacteria; Pseudomonadati; Pseudomonadota; Alphaproteobacteria; Hyphomicrobiales; Rhizobiaceae.